RNAcentral lists this ribosomal RNA (389 nucleotides) under Macaca fascicularis (crab-eating macaque). RNAcentral describes it as "partial 12S ribosomal RNA". It matches the Rfam family "Bacterial small subunit ribosomal RNA", at positions 794 to 1383 of the family's 1533-position model. The record is from RNAcentral. Lineage: Eukaryota; Metazoa; Chordata; Mammalia; Primates; Cercopithecidae.
GCUUGGCCCUAAACCUCAGUAAUUAGAUAACAAAACUACUCGCCAGAAUACUACAAGCAACAGCUUGAAACUCAAAGGACUUGACGGUGCUUUACAUCCCCCUAGAGGAGCCUGUUCCAUAAUCGAUAAACCCCGAUCCACCCUACCCUCUCUUGCUCAGCCUAUAUACCGCCAUCUUCAGCAAACCCUAAUGAAGGCCACAAAGUGAGCGCAAACGCCGCCGCCGCGAAUACGUUAGGUCAAGGUGUAGCCCAUGAGACGGUAAAAAAUGGGCUACAUUUUCUGUUUCAGAAAACCCCACGAAAACCCUUAUGAAACUUAAGGGUCCAAGGAGGAUUUAGCAGUAAAUUAAGAAUAGAGUGCUUAAUUGAACCAGGCCAUAAAGCGCG